GACGAACGCUGGCGGCGUGCUUAACACAUGCAAGUCGAACGGAAAGGCCUGCUUUCCCUUGUGGAUUGCGGGUACUCGAGUGGCGAACGGGUGAGUAACACGUGAGUGAUCUGCCCCCAACUUGGGUAUAAGCCUGGGAAACUGGGUCUAAUUCCCGAUAGGACUGCAGGGUGGUGCCUGUGGUGGAAAACGAUUUUCUAGUGGUUGGGGAUGAGCUCGCGGCCUAUCAGCUUGUUGGUGGGGUAAUGGCCUACCAAGGCGGCGACGGGUAGCCGGCCUGAGAGGGUGGACGGUCACAUUGGGACUGAGAUACGGCCCAGACUCCUACGGGAGGCAGCAGUGGGGAAUAUUGCACAAUGGGCGGAAGCCUGAUGCAGCGACGCCGCGUGGGGGAUGACGGCCUUCGGGUUGUAAACUCCUUUCGACCGCGAGGAAGCCACCUGGUUGGAAGGGUGGUGACAGUAGUGGUAGAAGAAGCACCGGCUAACUACGUG
This 494-nucleotide ribosomal RNA is filed under the name uncultured bacterium. RNAcentral describes it as "partial 16S ribosomal RNA". It matches the Rfam family "Bacterial small subunit ribosomal RNA", at positions 28 to 507 of the family's 1533-position model. The record is from RNAcentral.